GUACCUUUUGUAUAAUGGGUCAGCGACUUAUAUUCUGUAGCAAGGUUAACCGUAUAGGGGAGCCGGAGGGAAACCGAGUCUUAACCGGGCGUUAAGUUGCAGGGUAUAGACCCGAAACCCGGUGAUCUAGCCAUGGGCAGGUUGAAGGUUGGGUAACACUAACUGGAGGACCGAACCGACUAAUGUUGAAAAAUUAGCGGAUGACCUGUGGCUGGGGGUGAAAGGCCAAUCAAACCGGGAGAUAGCUGGUUCUCCCCGAAAGCUAUUUAGGUAGCGCCUCGUGAAUUCAUCUCCGGGGGUAGAGCACUGUUUCGGCUAGGGGGCCAUCCCGGCUUACCAACCCGAUGCAAACUGCGAAUACCGGAGAAUGUUAUCACGGGAGACACACGGCGGGUGCUAACGUCCGUCGUGAAGAGGGAAACAACCCAGACCGCCAGCUAAGGUCCCAAAGUCAUGGUUAAGUGGGAAACGAUGUGGGAAGGCCCAGACAGCCAGGAUGUUGGCUUAGAAGCAGCCAUCAUUUAAAGAAAGCGUAAUAGCUCACUGGUCGAGUCGGCCUGCGCGGAAGAUGUAACGGGGCUAAACCAUGCACCGAAGCUGCGGCAGCGAACGUAUCACCCAAGACAACUUUACGGAGUUGACGAUUGACGGAGCGAAGCGACGUCAAAGCGUUCAUUAAAGUCGAGUUGGCUUAGGGAUACGUUCGUUGGGUAGGGGAGCGUUCUGUAAGCCUGUGAAGGUGGCCUGUGAGGGUUGCUGGAGGUAUCAGAAGUGCGAAUGCUGACAUAAGUAACGAUAAAGCGGGUGAAAAGCCCGCUCGCCGGAAGACCAAGGGUUCCUGUCCAACGUUAAUCGGGGCAGGGUGAGUCGACCCCUAAGGCGAGGCCGAAAGGCGUAGUCGAUGGGAAACGGGUUAAUAUUCCCGUACUUGGUGUUACUGCGAAGGGGGGACGGAGAAGGCUAUGUUGGCCGGGCGACGGUU
Molecule: ribosomal RNA, 982 nt
Filed under: Salmonella enterica
Lineage: Bacteria; Pseudomonadati; Pseudomonadota; Gammaproteobacteria; Enterobacterales; Enterobacteriaceae
Description: partial 23S ribosomal RNA
Rfam family: Bacterial large subunit ribosomal RNA
Source: RNAcentral